Molecule: unclassified non-coding RNA, 227 nt
Filed under: uncultured fungus
Lineage: Eukaryota; Fungi
Description: partial contains 18S rRNA, ITS1, 5.8S rRNA, ITS2 and 28S rRNA
Source: RNAcentral
AAGGAUCAUUACCAAAUCCAAAAAAACCCUUUAUCAACACCCCUUUGUGCACCGAGAAUGGUUCCGUUCCCCUUCCCUUUUUUAGCCUCUCUGCGAGGCUGGCGCGGGGAGGGGGAAUGCAUUUUUUUGUAACACCUUUUCAACCCCAUCAACCCUUGUAUACAUGCUGAAAGCAAAAAAAUAAACGAAACAUGAGACAACUUUUAACGGUGGAUCUCUUGGCUCGU